RNAcentral lists this ribosomal RNA (226 nucleotides) under uncultured bacterium. RNAcentral describes it as "partial 16S ribosomal RNA". It matches the Rfam family "Bacterial small subunit ribosomal RNA", at positions 1267 to 1500 of the family's 1533-position model. The record is from RNAcentral.
GCGGAACCUGAAAACCUAGUCUCAGUUCGGAUCGGAGUCUGCAACCCGACUCCGUGAAGCUGGAUUCGCUAGUAAUCGCGCAUCAGCCAUGGCGCGGUGAAUACGUUCCCGGGCCUUGUACACACCGCCCGUCAAGCCAUGGGAGCCGGGAGUGCCUGAAGUCCGUGACCGCGAGGAGCGGCCUAGGGUAAGACCGGUGACUGGGGCUAAGUCGUAACAAGGUAUC